Molecule: unclassified non-coding RNA, 646 nt
Filed under: uncultured Prochlorococcus sp.
Lineage: Bacteria; Bacillati; Cyanobacteriota; Cyanophyceae; Synechococcales; Prochlorococcaceae
Description: partial 16S-23S ribosomal RNA intergenic spacer; may also contain 16S ribosomal RNA and 23S ribosomal RNA
Rfam family: tRNA (bases 304-376)
Source: RNAcentral
UUGUGGAGGAGGACGCCGAAGGUGGGGCUAAUGACUGGGGUGAAGUCGUAACAAGGUAGCCGUACCGGAAGGUGCGGCUGGAUCACCUCCUAACAGGGAGACAACAAAAUGUUUAAUAUUAUUAUUUUGUCACCUUAGGUCGAUCGGUAUCUCACGUUUUUAAUUUAUUAAGAAUUUCAUUUCCUAAGUUUUUCUAGGUCACACCCAUUAUUUUCCUGGGCCAUUAGCUCAGGUGGUUAGAGCGCACCCCUGAUAAGGGUGAGGUCCCUGGUUCAAGUCCAGGAUGGCCCAUAUCUCUAUGUUGGGGGUAUAGCUCAGUUGGUAGAGCGCCUGCUUUGCAAGCAGGAUGUCAGCGGUUCGAGUCCGCUUACCUCCACUGAUUACCACCUCUUCCAUAAUCAAAAGAAGGGAAAAUUUUUUGAGUUGUGAUCAUAAUUCUGAACGAAUCUAGCUUCCUAAUGAAAUCAUUAAGAUGCUGGACUCAUUGAAUUAAUUUCAUUGUUUUCAGAGAACCUUGACAACUGCAUAGAUUAUUUUAAAGACAAUAAGCAUCUUUAAUGAUGCAGAUUUAUUAUUUGUGCAAAUGCAUUAAUAACAAUUCUAUUAAGCUGAUGCUUCAAUUUUGAAGUUAUUGGUCAAGCUACAA